GACGAACCACACAAACGUUAUUCGGAAUUACUGGGCUUAAAGGGUGCGUAGGCGGCGCGGAAAGUUGGGUGUGAAAUCCCUCGGCUCAACCGAGGAACUGCGCUCGAUACUACCGUGCUCGAGGGAGACAGAGGUGAGCGGAACUUAGGGUGGAGCGGUGAAAUGCGUUGAUAUCCUAAGGAACACCCGUGGCGAAAGCGGUUCACUGGGUCUCUUCUGACGCUGAGGCACGAAAGCUAGGGUAGCGAACGGG
This 253-nucleotide ribosomal RNA is filed under the name uncultured bacterium. RNAcentral describes it as "partial 16S ribosomal RNA". It matches the Rfam family "Bacterial small subunit ribosomal RNA", at positions 524 to 776 of the family's 1533-position model. The record is from RNAcentral.